GGCCGGGUCCGAUGCAAGGGUCGGCUGCGAACCGGGUCAGGUCCGAGAGGAAGCAGCCCUAAGUGGAACUGAUCUUGUGCCGUCGGUAACCCGGUCGCU
This 99-nucleotide signal recognition particle RNA is filed under the name Planctomycetota bacterium. RNAcentral describes it as "signal recognition particle sRNA small type". It matches the Rfam family "Bacterial small signal recognition particle RNA". From Rfam's summary of the family: The signal recognition particle (SRP) is a universally conserved ribonucleoprotein involved in the co-translational targeting of proteins to membranes. Archaeal SRP consists of a 7S RNA and homologues of the eukaryotic SRP19 and SRP54 proteins. The record is from RNAcentral. Lineage: Bacteria; Pseudomonadati; Planctomycetota.